This is a long non-coding RNA of Alexandromys fortis (reed vole), 3358 nucleotides long. RefSeq lists it as uncharacterized. The record is from RefSeq and is a predicted model, not a curated record. The transcript has 3 exons. Lineage: Eukaryota; Metazoa; Chordata; Mammalia; Rodentia; Cricetidae.
CGCGGCCGUGCGGUGUCACGUGAGCGGUGCGCGGUCCUGCGGGGACGCGGGACGACGACGGUGUAGUUUCCAGAAGGAAAGUCACUCGCCUUGCGAAACAUGCGCACAGAGCAGGCUCAGCGACCGCCUGUGAGCAGGAAACGAAGUUAUCAUGUGGCAUAUGUCAUGAAAUUUGGAAAAGUCAUACUGGGCUGACAAGAUGGCUAAGCAGAGCCGCUGUGACUACCUGUAAAAAAUUGUCCACCUCAGGCUUCUUGGCUGACAAUGCUCCUUCAUAGAAGGAUCCAGUACACGCAGAGAUUCCAGGACCCUCACUGGAGCUCCCAGUCCCUCCUCUUGCACCUCCCAACCCGCUGGAUUAAUUCUAUGUUCUUGUAAGUUUCUACGAUGUAUAUGUGAGGAAGGUAGGUUGAAAGGGCCACUUCGCCUACACAGCUACGACUCCGUAUAGGUGAGAAGUUUCAGUGAUUUUGCUGCUGGAAAUGACCCCUCACCCUGCUCUGUCAGUAAUCCCAGGACGCUCACUUGUUGCCCAAGGAGGACUUUGGUGGAUUCUUACUGAAGUUUUCCAUUGUUUCUUUGUGUCUCCCCGAGAAAAGAGGCUCUACAACAGUUUCUCAAAACCCGAUAACAUCUUCGUGAUCAAAGAGAAGACCAAAACAUGUAAGAGUGUCUGAGUCCUGGACGCCACACUGGGCCAGGGGUACAGACGAACCACUUCACUUCUCUAGAGUUGACUUCCUCAUCUGAAAAGUGAAGAGAGUAUCGAAGGCAAAAUAGCAGCAAAUUCAAAGAUUGACUUUUAUGUGCAAUUCUAGACUUGGGAGACAUCUUGUUUUAUGAAUGUGUUCUGGUAAGUUAAGCGAAAGGGGUUGAUUUUGUAGAUGAAAAUACUGACUGACCCAUGGUUGUGUCACAGAGGCGUGCAUAAGCUGCAUGAUUGCCUGGCUCCUUCCCCAGGAUGAAAAGAAGGUAGAAUGGCUGAGCAAAGCACAAACAGAACAAAAAGACGCAUCAUUUCCAAGUCAUUCUCCUAGUAAAGGCUAAAGCCGAGAAGACUUCCUUACUAUGCCCCAUGGUACCCAAAGUACAGGAUUGAACAAAACAAACCUGAUAAAUUAGACUUUACCAAAAUUAAAAACUUUUAGUGCUUCCAAGGACUCUAUUGACAAAGGGAAAAAAAUCAACCCAUGGAAUGAAAGAAAAUAUUCACAAAGCAAGUAUCAGAUGUGGGAGUCCAGAAUAUAUAAACAGUGCUGGAAACUUGGCAACUGAAAGACUACCCAGGUUUUUAAAAUAAACGCAGGACUUGAGUCAACACUUGUCAGAGAAGAAAUGCAAAUGGCCACUAAAAAUAUGUUUGGGAGAGGACCCAAAGCUGAGAGGAGCUGGGGGGGAGGCUUGGAUCUGAGAGGGUUUGUGGGUAGGAGUAGGGAUGAAUAUGAGCAAAAUAUCAUGUUGGGCAUCUGAUGUAGCACAAAUUCUAGUUAGUCUUAAUAAUAAAAAGUUGGAGUAAACUAUUAGUGGAUGAAAGCUGAAGGAUCAGAGAAUCAGAGCGGCCAGCCACUCUUACUUCCACCAGUGCUUAGACCAAAGGGGCGAUCCUGUCUUCAGACUGCAUGCUCCUCAGAUUGCCUUUAGCUCCUAUCUCCUCCCACCUUAUAUUCCUCUCUCCACCCAGUCAUAUCACUCCAGUCUCCUCCUCCCUAGUGCUAGGAUCAAAGGCUUGUGACUGAAAGACCCUACAGACCCCCUCCUCAAAACCCACAGCAGCGAGCCUGCUCUCGUAAGAACAUCCCAUGUGCUUGAGAGAGCAGUAUGAGAUAGAAAGACUGCAAGGCAGGAUAUCAAUAAGAUAGGACAUCAACAAAGCAGGUUGACUGCAAAACAGGAUAUCUAUAAGAUAGGAACAGGAUGACUUUUGCUGACACCCAUGCUGAGAGAGGAAACCAUUCAUGCCCCGGCCUCAUCCUGAUAACCACGCUUUUGCUUCUGUAAACUUGCUCUUUGCUCUUCCCUAUAAAAAACCCGCCCUCCAGUAGACAGGCAAGCAAGUCCUCCGAAAGACUUGCCGCCCCCAGGUACCUGUGUUUACCCAAUAAACCUCUUGCGAUUUGCAUCCGUAUGGUCUUGGCCUGUUCCUUGGCAGCGGGGAGGUCUCCUCCUGAGAGAAAGUCCUCUUCGAGGGUCUUUCAGUGAUCCCAAGUGCUGUGAUCACCUUUAUGUGAGCUCGGCUUCUUUUUUCAGACAGAUUCAAUCUCAUGUAGCCCAGGGUAGCCUUGAACUCACAGAGAUCUGUUUGCCUCUGUCUCUCCAGUGUUGGGAUUAAAAGUGUGUGCCACCACUGCCUGACCUCUAUGACUAACUAGUGGCUUAGUUCUGCAUUCUGACCUUCAGGCAAGCUUUAUUUGUUAUAGAAUAAACAAAACACCACCACAAUUUUAACUAAGCAAAGAUGUGUUACACUUGUUUACGUUGCAGAAUUUAACUCUGUGAGGGUGUGUUACAUUUGUUUCUGCUGCCUUUAUUAAUGAGCAAAGGUGUGUUACAUUUGUUUGUGCUGCCUUUAUUAAUGAUGCAAAGAUGUGUUACACUUGUUUACGUUGCAGAAUUUAACUUUGUGAGGGUGUGUUACAUGUGUUUGUGCUGCCUUUAUUAAUGACGCAAAGGUGUGUUACAUGUGUUUGUGCUGCAUUUGUUUAACUGUGUAAAGCUGUGCUGCAUUUCUUUCCUCUUGCCUGCCUAAGGCACCUGAUGGUCUAAUAAAAAGAUGAACAGCCAAUACCUAGGCAGGAGAGGAAUAGGUGGGCCUGGCAGGCAGAGAAAAUAAGUAGGAGAAGAAAUCUAUGCUCAAGAGGAAAGAAGGAAAGAAUGAGGGAGAAAGAGAGGGACACACCCAGGGACAGAAGCCAGGCAGCCACCAGCUAGCCAUACAGCCAGCAGGAAAGUAAGAUAUAAAGAAAGCAAGACAAAAAGACCCAAGGCAAAACAUAGAUAAGGAGAAACAGAUUAAAAUAAGAUCUAAGCUAAGGUUGGACAUCCAAAACUAAUAAUACGUGUCUGUGUCAUGAUUUGGGAGCUGAUUGGUGACCUAAAGAAAAAAGCUUGCUACAUUCAACAUCAUUUUUUAUUAAAGAAAACAAAAAAAUCAGAACCACAGUGGGAUAUCACAUCAUAGUCACAGGAUAAAUAUGAAAAUAAUUUUUAAAACAGAAUAAAGAAACAAAUGUAAGUCAGGAUGUGGAGAAAUUGAAGCCUUCAUACAUUGCUAGUGAAGAUAUAAAAUAGUCAAAAAGUUAAACAGAGAGAUAUCAUGUUAUCAUAUUGCCUACAUCCCUAUUCCGGUUGUUUGUGUGUA